CGAACCUGCCCCAGACUCUGGGAUAACAGUUGGAAACAGCUGCUAAUACCGGAUACGAGACGGAGAGGCAUCUCUACCGUCUGGAAGUUUUUCGGUCUGGGAUGGACUCGCGCCUAUCAGCUAGUUGGUGAGGUAAUGGCUCACCAAGGCGACGACGGGUAGCCGGCCUGAGAGGGCGACCGGCCACACUGGGACUGAGACACGGCCCAGACUCCUACGGGAGGCAGCAGUGGGGAAUAUUGCACAAUGGGCGAAAGCCUGAUGCAGCGACGCCGCGUGAGGGAUGACGGCCUUCGGGGUUGUAAACCUCUUUCAGCAGGGAAGAAGCGAAAGUGACGGUACCUGCAGAAGAAGCACCGGCUAACUACGUGCCAGCAGCCGCGGUAAUACGUAGGGUGCGAGCGUUGUCCGGAAUUAUUGGGCGUAAAGAGCUUGUAGGCGGUUUGUCGCGUCUGCAGUGAAAAUCCGAGGCUCAACCUCGGACUUGCUGUGGGUACGGGCAGACUAGAGUAUGGUAGGGGAGG
This 524-nucleotide ribosomal RNA is filed under the name uncultured bacterium. RNAcentral's name for it is "bacterial SSU rRNA". It matches the Rfam family "Bacterial small subunit ribosomal RNA", at positions 120 to 660 of the family's 1533-position model. The record is from RNAcentral.